Molecule: long non-coding RNA, 1417 nt
Organism: Xenia sp. Carnegie-2017
Lineage: Eukaryota; Metazoa; Cnidaria; Anthozoa; Malacalcyonacea; Xeniidae
Exons: 4
Source: RefSeq, a predicted model, not a curated record
GUCAGACAAUUGCUGUAUCGCUUGCUGUGUGCAGUGAACAUCGAAAAUAAUACAGAUGUAAUUUAGAAUACGGCAGCACUUCCUUGUUCUUUUACGAGAAUUAUCAUUCUGUAGAUUUGUCCUCAUACUGGCGAUUCACAAGAAGAAUUUCUGCCAUGCGACGACAUAGUCGAGGGCCUCGAGGCUGUUGUUUACCGUAGCAACUAAAAGCAAGUGGCAUGAUUGCUAGCAUCAGUCGAAGAAUUGUCGUGUAGAAAGACAUUGUUGCUCAGGAGAAAGAACUUGUAAACGCUUUAUAGAGUCAAUUAGAUUGUUGCUUUCGUUCUGUUCUGAAAUGGUCUUAGUGAAAGUAUUUAUCAUGUUUGUAAUUUCCAUUACUUGCAUCAAUAUGAAACUCAACUGCAUACUUCGUUCAAGUGGGAGUGAGUCCAGUAAGAAGAUUGAUCAAUACCGUAUAUAUUAUAGACUAUUAUGGCUUUCACAAAGUUUCUUUGAACAAAUGAGUGCUUGAUACUGAAAGCCCAGAGCAAAGCUACACCUGCAAAGCAUUCCAGCUGAUAAGAAUAAUGAAUCAUCUUUGGAGCAAAAUAUUAAAAACUGAAAGUUUACAAAGGGAAGCCUGCAACUGUUGAAGAAUUUGUUGAAGGAACAUUUUGUAAAGAUGUUAACAAUGGAAAAGUGUGCAGAAGUGAGGUAGUGUGAAUACCGAUAUGGUGCUUCUAGUCGUAUUUAUUGUCGAAUAUGAUAAACCUUUUUGGCUUUUUCGUGGAGCUCAGUCAAGUAUAUUAAAAUUGCUAUCACAGAUGGAUCUAACAGGGGUGGCACCAGGAAUUCCCCAACAGAGCGGCUAAGGUCCUCGACGGGGGGCUGACUUAGCUACUAGGCUGAUGUGACAAUGCGCUUUCCAUGUAAAUCUUAAAUUGCUCAAAUAAGUUUUUUAUGUGAAGUAUUUAAUCUUUUUCAUUUACCAAAAUGAUUAACACUUUGCUAAAUCUCGGCUACCGGGCUCAUGUAAUUGGCCCUUAGAGGCUGACCAAGAUUCAUUGAUUCAGCGCUGGUAAAAUUUUGUCUAUAGAUGGGAAUUUUCUUUUUGUGUUGUGUUGAUGAAACAACAAAUCAAGGAAAACUAUAGCGACACUUUCCUUUAUGUAUACCAGUAUGAUUCUACUAAAACAAUUAGAUUACUCGCUCUCAACUUCCAUGAUGCGAGAGUUGAUUUUGGCUUUGUACUCAUCAACUAUCAUUUUGUAGAUGAGAGCUCGUAAUCUAAAUGUUGAAUUACUACAGCAAACAAUGGUGGAAAAAGCUUUGUUUUAAAGAUGACGCUUCGUCUUCUAUUUAAGACAUCAUCAGCUGAUACGUAGUUAUUUCCCUGAGAUAUAUUUACUGAGUAAAAAAACUUUUUUGCAAACCUCUA